AACGCACAUUGCGCCCGCCAGUAUUCUGGCGGGCAUGCCUGUUCGAGCGUCAUUUCAACCAUCAAGCCCCAGGCUUGUGUUGGAGCCCUGCGGCUGCCGCAGGCUCCUAAAAGCAGUGGCGGGCUCGCUAUCACACCGAGUGCAGUAGUUUACUCUUCGCUCAGGGCGUGUGGCGGGUUCCAGCCGUUAAACCCCCUACUUUUACAAGGUUGACCUCGGAUCAGGUAGGAAUACCCGCUGAACUUAA
RNAcentral lists this unclassified non-coding RNA (247 nucleotides) under uncultured Lasiosphaeriaceae. RNAcentral's name for it is "sequence contains ITS2". The stretch from base 1 to 52 matches the Rfam family "5.8S ribosomal RNA", at positions 103 to 154 of the family's 154-position model. Lineage: Eukaryota; Fungi; Ascomycota; Sordariomycetes; Sordariales; Lasiosphaeriaceae. The record is from RNAcentral.